UACUUUAGAGAACAGCCCGGAUUUUCCCUGAUAUUCAACAUUGAAACCAUGUAAUUGAUUGUUUAUACAAGCAAUUAAAUGAUUAGGUUAAGUGCUUCUAUCACAGUUGGUGUCCACUGAUGUUAUCAAAUGAACACAGAUGGUUAGCUGGUCAAGAUUAUUUAAUUUCCAUAUCCUCUGCACUAAAUACAUUUUAUAUUAUUGUCUACAAAAUAUUCUCAGUCAAGGUAUUUUGAAUGAAAAAAAAUUUACUUUAAAAAUGCAUUUAAAUAAUAUAUAAAUUUAAUUUUUCUUUAGGAUUUCUGCAGCUAAUUUGGAAAUGCUAUGAUAAAUAAUUUUUAAAUUUAACAAAUUUGAUAUUUUUUAAUAUUAUAUCAUUAUCAAUAGGGUCCAGGACCAAUUCAGUCUAU
RNAcentral lists this long non-coding RNA (410 nucleotides) under Mytilus galloprovincialis (Mediterranean mussel). The record is from RNAcentral. Lineage: Eukaryota; Metazoa; Mollusca; Bivalvia; Mytilida; Mytilidae.